Molecule: long non-coding RNA, 2843 nt
Filed under: Podarcis lilfordi (Lilford's wall lizard)
Lineage: Eukaryota; Metazoa; Chordata; Lepidosauria; Squamata; Lacertidae
Source: RNAcentral
AAGGCGGCUUACCCCGCCCCCUACCUCUUGCCGCUUCUCGCGCGGAGACGAGAGAGCGGGAAGAGGGAGUGAGUGACAGUGGCGACCUUCGAAGUUCUCCUCCGUUGCCCCACCUCCCUCCCUCGUUCACUGUGGCGGGACGGUGAAACGGAGUUCCGAAGGCUGGCGGAUGAGAGGAGAGGCUGGGAAAGGGGAGAGGCUGGAGGACGAGGACGAAGAGGAAGGAAACAUCCCGCUCGCCUCUCCCUUCUGCCGCUUCUUCAGUGUGGCGGGUGGGGAGAAUUCAUUUUUUGCCUCCGCGCGGGCAGGACGUGCAGCCUGACGCGUCUCCCUGGGUGGCGGGACAUGGGUAGGUCGUCGCCGUGGGACGUAACGGAAAAGCCUGUGGGCUCCUGGCCGUCCUUGCCCAAGCUUGCUGGGAAGCGCCAGAAGACCUGCACCUGCACGGGGUCUUGUGGCAUAAGUUGGGGCUGCACACCUUCUCCUCCGUGCCUUCAUUUCUCGGGAGGAAGGGUAAAUGUUAUCCAAGGACCCCCCCCCUUUCCACCCUCCUUUUUUUGGCAAAGUUUUGCUUCUGGGUUAGUCGGCAAUCCAGUGCAUCUUCCAGCUCCAUUGAAUGCCGUGAUUUCGCUUCCCAGCACGUAGGUUCGGACGGUCCAUCCCUGCCGGACCAACCGCGUUGUAAUUUUAUUUGUUGGCGGGUCGGGUUGAAGGCGCGUUUCAGGGACAAGCUCGCAGUUGAAUCAAUCACGAGCCCACGGCGCCCUUAUCCAUAUGUGGGAAGCUUUUGUUUGCUUGUGAAGGUUAUAACGACAGUCUAGAGUUCACCCGUUAUGGUGAGAGGAAGGCCAACGAGAAAGGAACUUCGUUGAAGUGUGUGGAUGCUGUAUUUGCUUUGCCUUAUAUGUGUGUCUGUUUUCUAAAGCAUUGCUCUCUCUGCGGAUCCAGUGGCUAUUGCUUAUUAAAACACCAACGUUAGGAGGCCAGAACAAAAUUCUGAAGGUCUGAAACAUGCUGAUUCUGGCAAAUAAAAAAAAUGAUCUGCCUCCUUUGGGUGAUACUAUAUUACCCUCUUUUUAAAAACUAGUGUGAGAGCCAGAGUAGUUGAGGGUAUUGUAGCAGCACACAUUGUGAGUGAAGUAUAGCUCAUAACUCUGGCCUCUUGGUAGUGGGUAAGUAUCUCUGUAUAGGGUUUACAGUGUCAAAUAGAAGCUGUCCCCCAGAUUUGUUUUAUAAAAAGGUGCUGAGGGGAAAUCUGAAGCCUUUCCUAGUAGCAUAUAUACUCUUAAUAUUUUGAAUUGCAUACAGAAUUUGACUCAUUCAUACUUUAAACCAGCAGAUAUGAAGAGAGUUGCGGGUAAGAGAAUUCUGGACUGACAAGGUUUACAGGUAUGAACAACUUCUGGUUGAGAACCUUAAUGUAUGUUUUUAGUGUGUGGGUGUUGUACAAAAGUGUGGUAUGAAAACAUUUGUUUCCUUUUUAUUCAUAAAUUACAUGGCUGAUCUUGUUGUUUUCAGGGUUGUCGUACAUUUCACAGUGUAGAUUGCCAGUGAUUUAUUGUAGGGGGGAAAUGGUGUCAACUUUUUCUUUUUGUAUAUUGCAAAGAUAAUGCAUCCAAACCACGACUAAGACAGUCCUAUGCACAGUUAGCUGGGAGUAAGCCACAUUAUAUUAAACAACUUAUUUAUUAAUGGACAUGAAUAGGAUUGCACUGUAAAUCACAUUCCUGAUGUUAUAAUACUGCUGUGUUAUUCAUGGCCCACUAAUUAUAGUUUUAUUAUUUCUGUUCUUUCCUGUUCUCAUUUUGAUUCCGAAUUUCAAUGUGUUUAUUUGAGGACAGUGUUUUUGAAGCCAAGGUUGUUGCUACAAAUAUUUCACACACUUUGGGAUUAGUAAAAGCUGGUAGAUUAAGUUUGGCAACAUAUUAUCUUCUCAACAUACUAACCUUGUAUGCUAUCAUUGUGAAACUUUGCAGUCAUGCUUCAUUUCUAAAGUAAUCAUGUUUUUACGCUCUGGAAAAAUGCUACCUUAUACCAAAUAUCAAGGUUAAUCUGACAUUACCAAAAGUUGGGAGGGGGUCAUUUGCUAGGCUAACCAUCUUGCGUUUCCUUGGGUUUUGCUGUUUGGAGUGUGUCCUUGUGUGAAUGAAAAAUAACUAGCUUUUUCAGUAAUCAAAGUAUAUUUAGAGCAGAAUGUUGUAUGUUUGAAAGAUCUUACAUAGAUUCUAGACUUAAAGCACUUCAGCUCCUUGUUAUUUUUUCAUCCUGUGUUGUAAUUGUUGGAAAAAAUAGCAACAAAGAACCUUGGCUAUCAAAUUCCUGACAUUGUUCUUGAAGAGUGAGAUAGAAAUAUGAUUCUAUUGAUUUGUUUCCAGUCAAAAAACUCAGUGGUAAGUGAAAAGACGAAAUAGCAGUGGUGAAAUAUUAACUAAGCAAUUACAUUAUGUCAAAGGAUAAGGCAGGUUGCUUUUGUUUGCUUUGCUUGAUAAGCAGUAGAUGACCGCAGCAAUGAUACUGAAAUGAUUUUCAGGAAGGAAAAGUCUCUCAGUGUUCGGACAUAGCUUCUGUUUCUUUAGAUGUACAUUGCACAAUUUAAUACUUUGACCUAGAGCUAUCUUACAAAAGUCACAUCUUCUAUUAUCUUAGAGUUUACUUUGGAAAGCAUUCUAAAAGAUCUCAGUUUGGUGAUGCAGAAACAACUUAGGUUUGGAAUGCCUACUAAUAAAAAUAUAUUCUUGCAACCAUCAUAUUACGUAUGAAUUUAGGAGAUUGAAAAGAGUGUGCAUGUUUUAAAAUGAAGUUAAAUACAAUGGGAGAGUUCAUUCAGUUAUUGCAACAUUUAC